This 461-nucleotide ribosomal RNA is filed under the name uncultured bacterium. RNAcentral's name for it is "bacterial SSU rRNA". It matches the Rfam family "Bacterial small subunit ribosomal RNA", at positions 330 to 792 of the family's 1533-position model. The record is from RNAcentral.
ACCAGACUCCUACGGGAGGCAGCAGUGGGGAAUAUUGCACAAUGGGGGGAACCCUGAUGCAGCGACGCCGCGUGGGUGAAGGAGCACCUCGGUGCGUAAAGCCCUAUCGGCAGGGAAGAAAAGCGAACAGGUUCGCCUGGACGGUACCUGACUAAGAAGCCCCGGCUAACUACGUGCCAGCAGCCGCGGUAAUACGUAGGGGGCAAGCGUUAUCCGGAUUCACUGGGUGUAAAGGGAGCGUAGACGGCGACGCAAGUCUGGAGUGAAAGCCCGGGGCCCAACCCCGGGACCGCACCGGAUACUGCCGGACUCGAGUGCCGGAGGGGCAGGCGGAAUUCCUGGUGUAGCGGUGAAAUGCGCAGAUAUCAGGAGGAACACCGGUGGCGAAGGCGGCCUGCUGGACGGUAACUGACGCUGAGGCUCGAAAGCGUGGGGAGCGAACAGGAUUAGAUACCCCAGUA